This is a non-coding RNA of Carassius auratus (goldfish), 624 nucleotides long. The record is from the annotation of a RefSeq genome assembly. NCBI's taxonomy places the organism in Eukaryota, Metazoa, Chordata, Actinopteri, Cypriniformes, Cyprinidae.
ACACACACAAUGAUGCUCCGUUCUGUCCUUCUAAUUUCUGCAUUUGCAUGUGCAACGCAUGGAAAUGAAAUCAAACCAACCAAAACUUUGGAGUUUGCUGAGGAGGGUUCAAGUGUUGCAUUAUCCUGCAGUUAUUCAUCUGCAUCAACUCUCUACUGGUACCGUCAGUAUCCCGGAUCAGCUCCUGAGUUUAUUUUGUUCAUCUCAGACAGAUCAACACAAGAUCAGAAGUCUAUUGUAGAUUCCAGAUUCACUGCCAAAGUCACCAAAGACAAAGAAAACCAUGUGGAUCUGGAGAUCUCCUCUGUAUCUAUAUCAGACUCUGCUCUGUACUACUGCGCUCUGGAGCCCACAUUGACAGGAAACACAAGAACACUGUACAAAAACCUGAUACACACUUUUGCAUCUACAUCACACAUAUCCUACCUCCAUAUCUGCUAUGCUGUAGGUGUGAUGGCUGCAGAAGAGAUUGGGCCAAACAAGGGUGAAAAUGUCCUCAGUACAGAAGGAGAUUCUGUGACACUGAGCUGCUCAUAUGAUACAAGCAGCAGAUAUGUUACACUUUACUGGUACAGACAGUAUCUUAAUGGAGAACCUCAGUAUUUAAUAUGGAAAUAUUGGUAA